GUGUAGUGUUGGAGCACCCCUGUUUUCGCAUUAGCAAUUCCCUGUGCCUCUCCUCCUCCCCAGGCGCAGAGAGGCACGCAGGCAAACAACACUCUAUCUGCAACCCGGUUACCACUGCGAGCAACUACAGCUUUUUGUUUAACUGUAUAAUUGCUCUCUCGGUGGGUUGUGGGUUUUCUUUUCCCCAUCUCCAUUUGUUUUCUUAAUAAUUAAGACCAGUAUAUUUAAAUGGUCCUUUUUUUUCUCUUUUUUUUUUUUUUUUUUUUUUUUCCUUAACAAGUAUACCGGAUGUAACAAGAUAGGCAGCUAAAAACAUUAAUCAUAUUAAAACUAAUUAAAAACUGAAAAGUUUCUGUGCAUUCCAAGCACUGGGGGUGGGAGGGGGCGGGGAGGCCUUUGGUCUGAGCACUGGCGUUUCCUGAGCGCAAGCAAAUGCCUGACACAUGGACUUCACCGAAUUCCAAAAUGUAGCAAAACAGUGCCUGCAUAUUUGGCAGGAAUCACCACCAGUUCAGGAGAAAAGGGGUGCUAACAGAAGGAAAAAGACUGCCAGAGACUUGGGAAAAAUGAAAGAAAAGAGAUGAAGAAAGAAAGAAGAGAAAAGGCAAACAUUGAUGGCAGUGGAUAAUAAAGAAUGGCAUCUAAAAAGAAUGGUCUGGCA
Molecule: long non-coding RNA, 661 nt
Filed under: Cyanistes caeruleus (blue tit)
Lineage: Eukaryota; Metazoa; Chordata; Aves; Passeriformes; Paridae
Description: lncRNA (ENSCCEG00000013551.1)
Source: RNAcentral